This 266-nucleotide ribosomal RNA is filed under the name uncultured prokaryote. Its description in RNAcentral is "partial 16S ribosomal RNA". It matches the Rfam family "Bacterial small subunit ribosomal RNA", at positions 524 to 792 of the family's 1533-position model. The record is from RNAcentral.
CACGGGGUUGCGAGCGUUGUCCGGAAUUACUAGGCGUAAAGAGCGCGCAGGUGGUUGAUAAGUCUGAUGUGAAAGCCCACGGCUUAACCGUGGAGGGUCAUUGGAAACUGGUCGACUUGAGUGCAGAAGAGGGAAGUGGAAUUCCAUGUGUAGCGGUGAAAUGCGUAGAGAUAUGGAGGAACACCAGUGGCGAAGACGGCUUCCUGGUCUGUAACUGACACUGAGGCGCGAAAGCGUGGGGAGCAAACAGGAUUAGAUACCCGGUA